RNAcentral lists this ribosomal RNA (272 nucleotides) under uncultured bacterium. Its description in RNAcentral is "partial 16S ribosomal RNA". It matches the Rfam family "Bacterial small subunit ribosomal RNA", at positions 83 to 354 of the family's 1533-position model. The record is from RNAcentral.
CUCCGCCGGCGACCGGCGCACGGGUGAGUAACACGUAUGCAACCUGCCCCUGUCAGGGGGACAACCCGCCGAAAGGCGGGCUAAACCCGCGUACAUGCUACCGGGGCAUCCCGGAGGCAGGAAAGGCUUCGGCCGGACAGGGAUGGGCAUGCGGCGCAUUAGGCAGUAGGCGGGGUAACGGCCCACCUAACCGACGAUGCGUAGGGGUUCUGAGAGGAAGGUCCCCCACACUGGUACUGAGACACGGACCAGACUCCUACGGGAGGCAGCAG